UCCAUUGGCUCUUGUUUUGUCCUCGGU
This 27-nucleotide non-coding RNA is filed under the name Mus musculus (house mouse). Lineage: Eukaryota; Metazoa; Chordata; Mammalia; Rodentia; Muridae. The record is from RNAcentral.